Dendrobium catenatum is the source of this 826-nucleotide long non-coding RNA. RefSeq lists it as uncharacterized. Lineage: Eukaryota; Viridiplantae; Streptophyta; Magnoliopsida; Asparagales; Orchidaceae. The record is from RefSeq and is a predicted model, not a curated record. The transcript has 2 exons.
GUCGUUUUCCGUGGUCAAUGGUUCUUAACCUCCUACGGGCGGCGGCCGGCUCCGAAUUUGGCCGGAAGUGCGAUCUCUCCAUCUCUCUUUGUGGAAUCUGAAUAAUUUCUCAACUUUCUGCUUGGAACCUCCUCUCAGGCAACCAGGCUCAAGGUUCCGGCAAAUUAUUAGGUGCGGACACCGGACAAAGAGAAUCAUCCGGAUUUCUCUCUAUCUACAGUCAAAACGUAUACGUUUUACUGUAGACAAAGAGAAAUCUGAAUGAUUCUCUCUGUCAGGUGUCCGAACCUAAUAAUUUCUCCAAGGUUCCUGAUGAAGCUUACGAGGGCCACACGAUUUCAUGGAAUUUGUAUGCUAGUGCUGCUGAUGAGCAUAACAUAGCGCGUAAAACUCGUCAAUACGGGAUCUGACAAAAGAGUUGAUGUGUGUUGUCGCCUACUUCUGUUAAUCAAGCCAAUGAUCACCAUCUGAGGUAACACUGCCCUAAUAUCUUUUUCUUUAUGGAGCAUGCUGCAUGCUUGUAUUUACCACUCAGAAAUAUCGUUUUAAGCUGUGCUUAAAUGGUAUGCAACUUAUAUGUCUUAUGUAAGCUUGUAUAAAAUUAGCCAAAAUUUGUUUAAUUAUGUAUUUAUAUUUUAAGGUUAUAAAAAAUAAGCAAAUUGUAAUUCAUUAUUUAAUCGAUCAAGGGGAUAGAAGUUCAAUGGUGUGAAAUUUUUUAUUUUUUAAGAUGAAUUAUUAGGAUAGGCAAUUUGUAAUUCUUUAUUUGAUCCAAAUUUGAUGUAAGAUGACUAGCUCCAUUAAGAGGAUUAUUAUAGAAGUUUUAUGA